CUACGGGAUGCAGCAGUGGGGAAUAUUGCACAAUGGGCGCAAGCCUGAUGCAGCCAUGCCGCGUGUAUGAAGAAGGCCUUCGGAUUGUAAAGUACUUUCAGCGGGGAGGAAGGGAGUAAAGUUAAUACUUUUGCUCAUUGACGUUACCCGCAGAAGAAGCACCGGCUAACUCCGUGCCAGCAGCCGCGGUAAUACGGAGGGUGCAAGCGUUAAUCGGAAUUACUGGGCGUAAAGCGCACGCAGGCGGUUUGUUAAGUCAGAUGUGAAAUCCCCGGGCUCAACCUGGGAACUGCAUCUGAUACUGGCAAGCGUGAGUCUCGUAGAGGGGGGUAGAAUUCCAGGUGUAGCGGUGAAAUGCGUAGAGAUCUGGAGGAAUACCGGUGGCGAAGGCGGCCCCCUGGACGAAGACUGACGCUCAGGUGCGAAAGCGUGGGGAGCAAACAGGAUUAGAUACCCCCGUAGUC
This 464-nucleotide ribosomal RNA is filed under the name uncultured bacterium. RNAcentral's name for it is "partial 16S ribosomal RNA". It matches the Rfam family "Bacterial small subunit ribosomal RNA", at positions 339 to 795 of the family's 1533-position model. The record is from RNAcentral.